GCUGAGGUCGCGUAAUCUGGUAUCGCACUAGUCUGCUAAACUAGCGCCCUUGUGGCUUGUGGGUUCAAAUCCCACCCUCAGCG
This 83-nucleotide transfer RNA is filed under the name Candidatus Aenigmatarchaeota archaeon. RNAcentral's name for it is "tRNA-Ser". It matches the Rfam family "tRNA". From Rfam's summary of the family: Transfer RNA (tRNA) molecules are approximately 80 nucleotides in length. Their secondary structure includes four short double-helical elements and three loops (D, anti-codon, and T loops). Lineage: Archaea; Nanobdellati; Candidatus Aenigmatarchaeota. The record is from RNAcentral.